RNAcentral lists this ribosomal RNA (631 nucleotides) under Micrococcaceae bacterium. RNAcentral's name for it is "bacterial SSU rRNA". It matches the Rfam family "Bacterial small subunit ribosomal RNA", at positions 217 to 858 of the family's 1533-position model. The record is from RNAcentral. Lineage: Bacteria; Bacillati; Actinomycetota; Actinomycetes; Micrococcales; Micrococcaceae.
GGUUCUUGAUGGGCUCACGUCCUAUCAGCUUGUUGGUGAGGUAAUGGCUUACCAAGGCGACGACGGGUAGCCGGCCUGAGAGGGUGACCGGCCACACUGGGACUGAGACACGGCCCAGACUCCUACGGGAGGCAGCAGUGGGGAAUAUUGCACAAUGGGCGCAAGCCUGAUGCAGCGACGCCGCGUGGGGGAUGACGGCCUUCGGGUUGUAAACCUCUUUCAGCAGGGAAGAAGCGAAAGUGACGGUACCUGCAGAAGAAGCGCCGGCUAACUACGUGCCAGCAGCCGCGGUAAUACGUAGGGCGCAAGCGUUGUCCGGAAUUAUUGGGCGUAAAGAGCUCGUAGGCGGUUUGUCGCGUCUGCUGUGAAAGCCCGGGGCUCAACCCCGGGUGUGCAGUGGGUACGGGCAGGCUGGAGUGCAGUAGGGGAGACUGGAAUUCCUGGUGUAGCGGUGAAAUGCGCAGAUAUCAGGAGGAACACCGAUGGCGAAGGCAGGUCUCUGGGCUGUUACUGACGCUGAGGAGCGAAAGCAUGGGGAGCGAACAGGAUUAGAUACCCUGGUAGUCCAUGCCGUAAACGUUGGGCACUAGGUGUGGGGGACAUUCCACGUUUUCCGCGCCGUAGCUAACGC